AAAAUUUAAAAAAAUCUUCAUUUAAUGACAUUGCCAAUGUUUUUUGUUAUAAGAUAUUUGUAAUUUUUUUUGUAAUCCUCACCUAUGCUAGAAAGGGGGGCAUUAUGUUUUCUGAUUUUGCUUCUGUAGGUAAUUUGUGGUGUAUUAGUUUAACAUGGGAAUGUGAAAAUGUAAAAUCUGUUCUUUCUCGGGUUAAAAUUUUUGUUAUGAAGAUGUACAUUAAAUCCUUAUUUAACACACAUGUUCAUUAUAAUAUGGACUUUCGACCUUUUAAGCCAAGUGAAGAUAUUAUAGUUAAAUUGGAAAUAUGGUAGUUCAAGCAUGGCAUACUGUCCUAUUGACACAUAUCCCUGUUUUAAUUAAUAUGAUUUAAACAUUGAAUAAGUUCUGUUAUAAUCAUUUCAUUGAAUCAAAUUCUGUUACUGUGAAUUCAGAAAUUAAUGCAAUGUUUUAAUUAUUGCGAAAAAUGCGACAGGGUUAUAAUCCCAAUGAUUUAAACUGGCAUUUUGAAAUAUUUCAUAUGAUUAAACAGGAUUUUUCUCAAUAUCGCAAAAAAUUAAAAUGCGUUUUAGUGUAAAAUGACAAAUCGCAAUAAUUAAUGCACGCAUUAAUUUCUGAAUUUACACUAUUUAAAAUGAUAUAAAGGAGUUUUUAGCUCACCUGGCCCAAAGGGCCAAGUGAGCUUUUCUCAUCACUUGGCGUCCGGCGUUGUACGGCGUUAACUUUUACAAAAAUCUUCUCCUCUGAAACUACUGGGCCAAAUUUAACUAAAUUUGGCCACAAUCAUCAUUGGGGUAUCUAGUUUAAAAAUUGUGUCGGGUGACCCGCCAAACCAACCAAGAUGGCCGCCAUGGCUAAAAAUAGAACAUAGGGGUAAAAUGCAGUUUUUGGCUUAUAACUCAAAAACCAAAGCAUUUAGAGCAAAUCUGACACGGGGGUAAAAUUGUUUAUUAGGUCAAGAUCUAUCUGCCCUGAAAUUUUCAGAUGAAUCGGAAGACCCGUUGUUGGAUUGCUGCCCCUAAAUUGGUAAUUUUAAGGAAAUUUUACUGUUUUUGGUUAUUAUCUUGAAUAUUAUUAUAGAUAGAGAUAAACUGUAAACAGCAAUAAUGUUCAGCAGAGUAAGAUUUACAAGUAUGUCGACAUGACCGAAAUAGUCAGUUGACCCCUUUAGGAGUUAUUGCCCUUUAUAGUCAAUUUUUAACCAUUUUUCGUAAAUCUUAGUAAUCUUUUACAAAAAUCUUCUCCUCUGAAACUACUGGGCCAAAUUAAACCAAACUAGGCCACAAUCAUCAUUGGGGUAUCUAGUUAAAAAAAUGUGUGGCAUGACCCUGCCAACCAGUCAAGAUGGCCGCCAUGGCUAAAAAUAGAACAUAGGGGUAAAAUGUAGAUUUUGGCUUAUAACUCUAAAACCAAAGUAUUUAGAGCAAAUCUGACAUGGGGUAAAAUAAUCUAUUAGGUCUAGAUCUAUCUGCCCUGAAAUUUUCAGACAAAUCGGACAACCUGUUGUUGGGUUGCUGCCCCAGAAUUAGUAAUUUUAAGGAAAUUUUGCAGUUUUUGGUUAUCAUCUUGAAUAUUAUAAUAGAUAGAGAUAAACUGUAAACAGCAAUAAUGUUCAUCAAAGUAAGAUCUACAAAUAAGUCAACAUGACCAAAAUAGUCAGUUUAUUCCUUAAGGAGUUAUUGCCCUUUAUAGUCAUUUUUUAACAAUUUAAAUAAAUUUUUGUAAAUUUUUAGAAUAUAUUUUCCACUGUAAUUACUGGGCCAAGUUCAUUAUAGAUAGAGAUAAUUGUAGCAAGAAGAAUGUCCAGUAAAGUAAGAUCUGCAAACACAUCAUGAUCACCAAAACACAAUUUUGUCAUGAAUUUAUCUGUGUCCAUUGUUUAAUAUGCACAUAGACCAAGGUGAGCGACACAGGCUCUUGAGAGCCUCUAGUUAUGGUUUUCAAAUAAGUGCUUUAGUAAGAUUUUUUACUGGCUUAUCCUAUUUUUCUUUAGUGUUUAUGGAUUAAAUUUAUGUUUGUUAUUUAAUUUUUUAUGCAGCAGUUUACCUUAGAUAAUUUUGCAAAAUGAAUCAUUUAAAUGAAGAAAUCAUGUUUGUUUGUUUGUUCUGUUCUGUUCUGUUUUGUUUUGUUUUUUAAAUGAAAUAAUUUAAAAAGUUGGAAUUGAUGUGUGCUAAGCCUAAUGCCUCUAUCAUUCAUUUAUUGAUAUGUGAAGAUCAUUUAUUGAUAUGUGAAGAUCAUUUAUUGAUAUGUGAAAAACAUUUAUUGAUAUGUGAAGAUCAUUUA
This 2283-nucleotide long non-coding RNA is filed under the name Mytilus galloprovincialis (Mediterranean mussel). Lineage: Eukaryota; Metazoa; Mollusca; Bivalvia; Mytilida; Mytilidae. The record is from RNAcentral.